GUGUUCCAAAAAAGAAUUUAUAAAAUCAGUUUGGAACUCAGCUCCCAUUUUCCUAUAGGAAUAAUAGCAGAAAAUGGGGUUAGAUCCCAGGCAGGGAGCUGAAGCUCAUUUGCUGCAGAGUCUAGGGCUCUGGGACAGUACUUGCUUGAGGUGCAGCUCUAAGUUGCAGUCUGUGGAUAACCAUUCAGUGGCUAUAUAGCCUUGGUUUCCUUACCUAUGAAGGGGACCAUCACUUAUUUGGAAGGUUGAUGUGAGGAAAUUGAUCAAACUCCUGACACAGAGUAGUGAUCUCUCAGUGGACAGUGGUAGCUGUUGAAUUUUUGCAGAAGGCUUUUUUUAGUAAUCUAGUCUUGCAUUAAGUAGAUAGGUUAUUUGCUGCAUGAAAUAGUGAAUGAAUUAUUACUGAGUGCAAGAGACCUGAACUGAACCUGACAGGAGUAUUACUAUUGGAAGUUGAGGGUUGCCUUUACUCACCUUCACAUUCAGUUUAAAUUAAAACAUGCUGGGCAGUCCUGGCUGGAUGACUCAGUUGGAGUGUUGUCCCAUAUACAAAAAGUUUGGGAGUUCAAUUCCUGGUCUGAUUGCAUAUUGGAGGCAACCAAUCCAACCAAUCGAUGUUUCUCACAUGAGUGUUUCUUUCUCUCUCUCCCUUCCUCUCUGGGGGGGAAAAAAAAAAUCAAUUAAAAACAUAUCCUUGGGUGAGGAUUAAGAAGAAGAAAAAUGUGCGAGGCACAUUAUCAGGCUCAUGUCAUCUAAUUGUUCCAAUGGUCUUGUAUAGUAGAUACCGUUAUCCCCAUAUUUGAGAUGAAGAAACAGAUCUGUCGAGUUUACAUAAUUUUCCCCAAGAUCGUUAAAGCUUGGAAGCAAAUAGAGUUGGGGGUUCAAGUUCUGACUCAGAAAAGUGCACACUGUUUGCACUGGCCCAUGUACCCCCACAAAGAUACAGUGUACCAACAGAUAAAUGUUCCAUGUUA
Long non-coding RNA from Pipistrellus kuhlii (Kuhl's pipistrelle), 974 nucleotides. RefSeq lists it as uncharacterized. NCBI's taxonomy places the organism in Eukaryota, Metazoa, Chordata, Mammalia, Chiroptera, Vespertilionidae. The transcript is spliced from 2 exons. The record is from RefSeq and is a predicted model, not a curated record.